This 218-nucleotide ribosomal RNA is filed under the name uncultured bacterium. RNAcentral's name for it is "partial 16S ribosomal RNA". It matches the Rfam family "Bacterial small subunit ribosomal RNA", at positions 1282 to 1500 of the family's 1533-position model. The record is from RNAcentral.
UAAGUCUCAGUUCGGAUUGAAGGCUGAAAUUCGCCUUCAUGAAGCCGGAAUUGCUAGUAAUGGCAGGUCAGCAUACUGCCGUGAAUACGUUCCCGGGCCUUGUACACACCGCCCGUCACACCAUGAGAGUUGGGAAUACCCGAAGCCUGUGAGCUAACUUUUAGAGGCAGCAGUCGAAGGUAGAAUCAACGACUGGGGUGAAGUCGUAACAAGGUACC